This 2520-nucleotide ribosomal RNA is filed under the name Triticum aestivum (bread wheat). RNAcentral's name for it is "partial small subunit ribosomal RNA". Lineage: Eukaryota; Viridiplantae; Streptophyta; Magnoliopsida; Poales; Poaceae. The record is from RNAcentral.
AUGGAUUUGCUGAAGCACAAGGUCCAGUCCCUGGCCGUCUCCCCCCUAACAAAUAAGGAGACUGGUAUGUCCAAAAAGCAAUUAAAACGGAGCCUGGAGAAAAUAGAAAAGGUUACAAAUGAAGCACACCAAAUUUUGGAAUGGCUGAACUUGCCCACUGUAAAUAAGGGACAGCCUAGUGCAGCCAAUGCAUGUACCACUGCAACUUCCCCAGUAAAGGUAAUUGGUCGAGAUGAGGAUCGUGACAAGAUCAUAGAAAUGCUUCAUGAGAAUGCCAGUCAUGGUAAGACAAACAUGAAUAGCAGUCUAUGUUAUUCUGUUGUUGGAAUUCAUGGCAUAGCUGGAUCUGGGAAAUCAACCCUUGCACAGUUUGUUUUUGCCCAGGAAGAAAAAGACAAGCUAGCCGAAAAAGAUGGCCAUUUUGGCAUUCUAUUAUGGGUUCAUGUCUCUCAAAAACCUAGCAUCGAGGUCAUUUACAGGCGAAUGUUUGAGGCAAUUGAAGGAUAUGAUUGUGAACUUAAUAGUCUUGAUAGGCUACAACAAGAACUGAAGGAUAUCCUGACUAGCAAAAGGUUUUUCUUGGUACUAGAUGAUGUCUGGUGCAACAAGGAUGUUGGCGAGCAGAAUCUGCCACAAUUACUUUCUCCAUUCAAGAUUGGAAAGAGAGGAAGCAAGAUCCUAGCGACAAGUCGAAAUGUAGAUGCCUUCUCGGAUCUUGGUCCUGAUGUGAGAUGCGCCAAUUUUCCAAUUAGUGACUUGGGUGAUAGUAUGUUCCUUGAGCUAUUCAUGUACCAUGCACUUGGAGAUAGGCACGCAGACGAUGGAGUUGGGAGCACACUCUGGAAUAUUGGGGUUCACAUUGCAAAAAAGCUUAAGAGGUCACCUCUAGCAGCCAGUACAGUGGGAGGACAACUACGUAAAAGAAAAAAUGUUGAGUUUUGGAGAAGAGCUAGAGAUCGGGACUUACUGAACGAGACGAUGGGAGCUCUAUCAUGGAGCUACCAGCAUCUUAAUGAGCAGAUUAGACAAUGCUUUGCUUACUGUAGUAUGUUCCCCAGAGGGCAUCAUUUCAGACCUAAUGUGUUACUUAAGUUGUGGGUGGCAGAAGGGUUUAUAAGAAGUACUAAUGCAGGUAAGGAAAUGGAAGAUGUUGGUCAGGAUUACUUUGAUGAACUUGUGUCAAUCUCAUUUCUGCAAUAUGGGGGAAAGGAGUCCUGCGGUGAGGACUACUAUUUAAUGCAUGAUCUGAUGUAUGAUUUAGCAGAGAGGAUCGCUGGACACGAUUGCUUUAGAAUUGAGGAUGGAUGGACAGGAGAAAUUCCUCCAGGUGUUCGCCAUCUUUUUAUUGAUACUUAUAAUGGGGAGAAGCUUGCCAUGAAGAUUUUUCAACUGGAAAAUUUACGCACUCUCAUCAUUAAAGUUAUCAAAUUAUGGACACCACGUGAUGAAGAAGUUUUCAAGAAUAUAAUCAUGAGGCUGCAAAAAUUGCGGGUACUGAACGUGACUUUUGGUUUGACUUGGCAUGUCAAUUUCUUAGAACCUAUUGGUGUCAAGCAUAUACGUCACCUUACUUACAGGAUCAGCAAAUCACAUGGUCUCAUUUUACCAAGGACCUUUAAAAAACUUCACCACAUUCAGACACUUGAUUUUGGUAAUUGCAAACGUCUUUCGCUCUCCAAAGAUGAAGUUGGGAUUAAUUUGGUUAGCUUGCGGCAUGUAGGGAAUGCCAGCAUUUUGAAGUUGGUGAACAUUGCCAGGUCGACAUCACUCCAAGAGUUAGGACCAUACUUCACAGUAAGUAAGGAAAGAGGUUGCAAUAUAAAACAUCUGAGGGAUCUAAACCAGCUUCGUGGCCGUCUGCGCAUUAGAGGUGUUGAAAAUGUUAAAAGCAGUGAGGAAGCUCUUGAAGCCAAGCUAGCUGAUAAGGAGCAACUCACCGAGCUAGAACUAUGCUGGGAUUGUGAUCAGGAGAGCUGCAAUCCAGAAGUUGAAGUAGAGGUACUUGAGGGUCUAUGCCCUCCGAAGGAUCUUGAAAAACUGGAACUCUGCGGGUACAAUGGAGCGAGAUACCCUAAUUGGAUGGUGGGUAGGCAGAAUGGUGGCUUAAAGUGCCUGCAAGUACUUAAGCUCUGGAAAUGCAGCUUAGGGCCUGCUCCCGUUUUUGAGGUCUUCACUCUACUUCGUGUCCUCUCUCUUUCGGCAUGCAUCUGGGUGACCUUACCAGAUAACAUGGUGCGCCUGAAAUCACUCGAGGAACUGUCCAUUGAAUUAUGUCAGAAUAUCCAGUCUCUUCCAGCCCUGCCCCACUCACUCAAGAAACUGUCCAUCAAAUAUUGUAAGAAUAUUCGGUCUCUUCCAGUACUGCCCCAGUCCCUUGAGGAAUUGUCCAUCGAUUAUUGCCCGAAUAUUCAGUCUCUUCCAGUGCUGCCCCAGGCCCUCACGAAACUGUCCACUGUUGAUUGCCCGAAUAUCCAGUCGCCUCCAGAACUGCUCCGGUCCCUUGAGGAGUUUGAAGUUUGA